AGGACUAACGCUGGCGGCGUGCCUAACACAUGCAAGUCGAACGGGGUAGCAAUACCCAGUGGCAGACGGGUGAGUAACACGUGGUCAACCUACCUCUGUGUGGGGGAUAACUAGCCGAAAGGUUAGCUAAUACCGCAUACGAUCGUUUUGAGGCAUCUCGAGACGAUGAAAGGAGCAAUCCGCACGGAGAGGGGACUGCGUCCCAUUAGUUAGUUGGUGGGGUAACGGCCUACCAAGACUCCGAUGGGUAGCUGGCUUGAGAGAGCGACCAGCCACACUGGAACUGAGAAACGGUCCAGACUCCUACGGGAGGCAGCAGUGAGGAAUUUUCCGCAAUGGGCGAAAGCCUGACGGAGCAACGCCGCGUGAGUGAUGAAGACCUUCGGGUGUAAGCUCUGUCGGAGGGAAGAACACAAUGACGGUACCCUCCAAGAAGCCCCGGCUAACUACGUGCCAGCAGCCGC
Molecule: ribosomal RNA, 464 nt
Filed under: uncultured bacterium
Lineage: Bacteria
Description: SSU rRNA
Rfam family: Bacterial small subunit ribosomal RNA
Source: RNAcentral